CGUAACAAGGUUUCCGUAGGUGAACCUGCGGAAGGAUCAUUACCUAGAGUUUGUGGACUUCGGUCUGCUACCUCUUACCCAUGUCUUUUGAGUACCUUCGUUUCCUCGGCGGGUCCGCCCGCCGGUUGGACAACAUUCAAACCCUUUGCAGUUGCAAUCAGCGUCUGAAAAAACUUAAUAGUUACAACUUUCAACAACGGAUCUCUUGGUUCUGGCAUCGAUGAAGUACGCAGCGAAAUGCGAUAAGUAGUGUGAAUUGCAGAAUUCAGUGAAUCAUCGAAUCUUUGAACGCACAUUGCGCCCCUUGGUAUUCCAUGGGGCAUGCCUGUUCGAGCGUCAUUUGUACCUUCAAGCUCUGCUUGGUGUUGGGUGUUUUGUCUCGCCUCCGCGCGCAGACUCGCCUUAAAACAAUUGGCAGCCGGCGUAUUGAUUUCGGAGCGCAGUACAUCUCGCGCUUUGCACUCAUAACGACGACGUCCAAAAGUACAUUUUUACACUCUUGACCUCGGAUCAGGUAGGGAUACCCGCUGAACUUAAGCAUNUCA
Molecule: ribosomal RNA, 545 nt
Filed under: uncultured fungus
Lineage: Eukaryota; Fungi
Description: eukaryotic LSU rRNA
Rfam family: 5.8S ribosomal RNA (bases 186-339)
Source: RNAcentral